GACGUAGGAGGCGAGCGUUAUCCGGAUUCACUGGGCGUAAAGCGCAUGUAGGCGGUUUGUUAAGUCCGGUGUUAAAGCCCCUGGCUCAACUGGGGGAGGUCAUUGGAGACUAACAGACUUGAGGGCAACAGAGGCACGUGGAACUCCCGGUGUAGCGGUGGAAUGCGUAGAGAUCGGGAAGAACACCAGUGGCGAAGGCGACGUGCUGGGUUGCAACUGACGCUGAGAUGCGAAAGUGUGGGGAGCAAACGGG
This 253-nucleotide ribosomal RNA is filed under the name uncultured bacterium. RNAcentral's name for it is "partial 16S ribosomal RNA". It matches the Rfam family "Bacterial small subunit ribosomal RNA", at positions 524 to 776 of the family's 1533-position model. The record is from RNAcentral.